This 547-nucleotide ribosomal RNA is filed under the name Longpotamon fujianense. Its description in RNAcentral is "partial 16S ribosomal RNA". It matches the Rfam family "Bacterial large subunit ribosomal RNA", at positions 1831 to 2625 of the family's 2925-position model. The record is from RNAcentral. Lineage: Eukaryota; Metazoa; Arthropoda; Malacostraca; Decapoda; Potamidae.
GUUUGUUUGGAGUUAUAAAGAAUUUAACCUGCCCCCUGAUUUAUUAUUUAAAGGGCCGCAGUAUUAUAACUGUGCAAAGGUAGCAUAAUCAUUAGGUUUUUAAUUGAAAUCUUGUAUGAAUGGUUGGACAAAAGAAAAACUCUCUUUAUAUUAAGUUUUGAAUUUAACUUUUAAGUGAAAAGGCUUAAAUAUUCUAAAGGGACGAUAAGACCCUAUAAAACUUUACAUUGUCAUUAAUUUUGAUUGAAUUUGUGAGAUAAAAAUUUUAUUUGAUUAUUUGUUAUGUUGGGGAGAUAUAAGUAAAAUAUUUUUUUAACUGCUUUGACAAUUAUACAAUUAUUAGUGAAUAAGUAGAAGAUCCUUUAUUAAAGAUUAGUAGAUUAAGUUACUUUAGGGAUAACAGUGUAAUUUCUUUUGAGAGUUCUUAUCGAAAAAGAAGGUUGCAACCUCGAUGUUGAAUUAAAAUAUCUAUAUAAUGGAGAGAUUAUAUAAGAAGGUCUGUUCGACCUUGAAAUUUUUACAUGAUUUGAGUUCAAACCGGUGUGAG